Rosa chinensis is the source of this 1199-nucleotide RNA transcript. RefSeq lists it as uncharacterized. The record is from RefSeq and is a predicted model, not a curated record. NCBI's taxonomy places the organism in Eukaryota, Viridiplantae, Streptophyta, Magnoliopsida, Rosales, Rosaceae. The transcript is spliced from 3 exons.
ACCAAAAAUUUUGGCAAGAAGGCAAUAGUUAUUGAGGUGUUCUCUGCGAUUCGCUACUUUAUGCUCUAAAUCUUCAGGGAUGAAAUCACCUGUCUCAGAAACCCAGUCUCAAACCUGUCUCUUGUGUAAAAUAAUGACACCUGUCUUAUUAACUUGACGUCUCUAACUCCGUUAACUCCCUCUCAUUUUUUUGCUUUUCUUUUCUGAAAUAUCACUCCAAAUUCACUCCAUCACUCCAAAUUCACCGAUUGCAGCGCCAUGUGCGAUCUGAUUGAGAAGCAAGGGAUUUGGCCUCGAUCCAUCUGGCCCCGACCCGACUCGGUUCGACGAGAGAGACGGCAAAACCUCCACGAAGACUGCCUGGGUUUUUGCCUUCUCUUCUUCAUUGUUGUUUUUCUUCUUUCAGAUCUAAGUAGAAUUUUCAAUCCUUUGGUUCUUGGGUUUCUUAAUUGAGAAUUGCUGGGGGUGAGUUCUGGAGAUUGGUAUUAUUCUAUUAGGAUCUUGAGAAUCUAAUAUGUAUAUUCUAUUAAAUCAACUCUUGGAGUUGAAAUUCUUUGCACUCAUACUUCAUAUUGAUAAAUUUGGUCGUUUCUUAUAUUCUGAAGGUGUUGAUGAAGAUGAGAAUGCAGGAAUAUGCAGAGUGAUUAUUUCUCUAAUAAAAAAGAAAAGUUAACAAAGUUGACGCUGAUUAGUUAAUGCGACACGUGUCAAUAUUUGAGGCAAAGGGACAGAAAACUUGGGGACAGGCGAUUUCCUCCCAAAUCCUCAAUCUGUUUAGUGCUGGAAUUACCAAACAGACUCCGAAGUUUUGGGCUUUUUGUAGAAUUGAAAACUAAUACAAAACUGAUUGGGUUAUGUUGGUGAAUGUUUGUAUCUGUGCAUUGUGUAUGUGUUAUUGUUUAGAAGAUGAGAGUUAUGAAUUGUUUUAUCUACUUUUUAGGUGCUGCACGCUGGGAACACCAAUCAGAAUGGUUACAAGGCACUUAUUGCUGCCGAGUUCAGCGGUGUCGAUGUUGAGCUGGUGAAGGAUUUCAAGAUGGUGUCGAACAAGACUCCCCAGUUUCUCAAAAUGAACCCCAUUGGGAAGGUCCUGUGUUGGAAACGCCAGACGGUCCUGUUUUUGAGAGUAAUGCCAUUGCGCGAUAUGUUACUCGUUUGAAGGCCGAUAAUCCCCUUUAUGGUUCUUCCUUGAUUGAAUA